This is a long non-coding RNA of Saccostrea echinata, 454 nucleotides long. RefSeq lists it as uncharacterized. The transcript is spliced from 4 exons. Lineage: Eukaryota; Metazoa; Mollusca; Bivalvia; Ostreida; Ostreidae. The record is from RefSeq and is a predicted model, not a curated record.
CUACUACUUUUUAAUGCUUGUGUUUACAUGAAAUUCUGUGAUUUGUCGCAUUGUUUUGAAUUUUUACUAAUCUUCUGUCAGUUGUAUAUUUUCAGGGACGUGGACCAGGGACGACGCAGGAGGACCAGGGCCGAGCAAGAGAAGAUGCGGUGUCCAUUGCCCAGCUGUGUCCAGCCGCCAACAUUGGCCAAAGCGGUACAGGGUUAGACUGCUGUGGUUCCGCAGAAGGAGCAGACCGUAACCUGCCGACCGGAGUUCAACGAUGGACUGCGGCCAAUCCAAGACGCGAGGGUGGAAGCUUAGGCUGUGCCGGAUGUAGAGGUGAAGAGGAAAGCAUCAGACAGAAGAAGAGUCCACUGCGGGCAACCCCCUGAAGUGAGGAGGAGGAGAUGAAGGCUGAGCAGCAUCCCACAGUGAGAGAGAGUGUCUUCAGUGCAACUGCAGCUGUCACCGG